UUAAAUAUUAAAUUGUUUUUAAUAAAGAAAUGGGGAUAUUAUUUUUGUCAUGAGAUUAAGUAAUUUUUAAUAAUUAUAGAUUAUAGUAUUGCAAUAGAAUUUUGAAAAAAUGAAAAUUUUAUUGGAAUGAAGUAGUAAAUUGUACCUUUUGUAUUAGGGUUUAGCUAAAUAAAUUAAUUAUUUAUAUUUCCCGAAAGAUUUUGAGCUACUAUAAUUUGAAAACAUUGUUUCAGAAAUGUCUAGGAAUUUUGGUAGAAAUGAAAUUUUUUUCGAAAAGUUUGAUAUCUGGUUAUUUUAGAAAAAUUAUAUAUUUUAGAUAAUUUUUUAAAUUUUAGAAGAUUAUUAAUUUUAUCCCUAGGGAUAAGCUUGGGGAUAUUUUAUAAAUAUUAUUAAUGUUUAUUUGAGGUUUAGAAGUUACUAAAUUAUUUGUAAUAAAGUAGUAUGUUUAAUAUAAUUAUUUUAUUGAGUUAAUUUUAUAAAAUUUAAUUUAGAUGUUUUAAUGUUAAAAUUAGUAUAAAUUUUAAUAAAGGUGUGAAAUUUGAAAAUUAAAGUUAGAAAUUUAAUAAAUUUUUAGGAAUUAGGCAAAAUUAAUUUUUGGCUGUUUAACAAAAACAUAGUAUUUUGAAUUAAUAAAAUGUUUGACCUGCUCAAUGAAUAUUAAAUUGCUGUGGUAAUUUGACUAUACGAAGGUAUUGAAAUAAGGUUUUAAUUGAAUGCUAAGAGAAUGGUUGAACAGGGAUUAGCUUUCUUUUUUUUUAAAAUGGAAUUUAAUUUGUAAGUGAAAAAGCUUAUAUGAGUUUUUGGGACAAGAAGACCCUAUGAAUUUUUUUUAAAAAUUUAUUUGUUGUUAAAGGAAAAUGAAGUUUAUUUUUAAGUUGAUUGGGGUGAUUUUUAAAAGUUUUUUAACUUUAAAAAGGAAGGAAUUGGAACCAUAAAUUGUGGUUUUUUGAUUAAAAUACUCUAGGGAUAACAGCGUUAUUAUUUUGGAUAGUUCAUAUAGAUAAAAUAGUUUGCGACCUCGAUGUUGGAUUAAGAUUCUUUUAUAGUGAAGAAGUUAUACUAAGAAGUUUGCUCAACUUUUAAAUUCUUACAUGAUCUGAGUUCAGACCGGCGUGAGCCAGGUCGGUUUCUAUCUAGAUAUAGAUAAUAUUUUUAUAGUACGAAAGGAAUUAAAAAUUUAAAAUUUUUAAGUUAAAAUUUUUGGAAUUAUAUUAAUU
Molecule: ribosomal RNA, 1217 nt
Filed under: Alectorobius guaporensis
Lineage: Eukaryota; Metazoa; Arthropoda; Arachnida; Ixodida; Argasidae
Description: 16S ribosomal RNA
Rfam family: Archaeal large subunit ribosomal RNA (bases 966-1124)
Source: RNAcentral